CUGCUAUUAUUUUUGUUGUUGAAGAAAGAGAAGUUGAUUUGUACCAAUUAUGGCAGACAUUCUGAUUUUGUUCAUAGUUUUCUGUCCUGAAGCUUAUUGAUUUAUGUAUCUGCUAUGAUUCUCAUAUUGGUAUGGUGAUUUUGUACUUUGCACAAAGUGUUUUGAAAAUGGAAACUAUGGGAAGAACAAAUUGAAGUUAGAUUUCAAGUAUAACAACCAGUACGUUGAAAAGAGUGGUAAUACUGGAGGUUUGAUCUUGGAAUUUCAAGAUGCUGGCCAAUUUUGUUCAUAGAAUGAAUGGACCAACACCUUUGUGAGUGUAGUACUCUUGCUGCCUGCCAGGACUCCACCAUGCUUAAGCAAAUUCUAAGCAAAUUCACCUCGCAAGCCAAAAUCUGUCACUACAUUCCACUGGGAGUGAUUCUGGCAACAAUAGUCCUAAUUUGGGCAGUGGUUUCCAAUGAACAAUUGGUGGGAGUUCUCUUGCAAGCAAAUUAAAUGUUGUCAAACGGGUGUCUUCAGUUGUUUUCCCAGCAAGCAUUUCAGUUGGAGCAGAGGUAGUGGAGCCUCAUCUGUCUUUCAAAGAGGUUUCAAAUUCACAGAAGCAGAAUCUGUUUAUCAGUAAGUUGAAAGUUUGCUGCGAGAUCAUUGAUUCUAUCGAUCUAGUUAAGCAAGAUCUUAAGCGUGAAACAUUGAUUGAGCUGCAGGUCGCACCAUAUAAGGGAAGGAAGGGUGAGUCAAAUUGGGGUCUUAACACAUCUAGAGAAUUACAAGUACUCAAUCAUAUCUGCAAUCUUGAAGAACAGCAUGCAUCUAAUAUAUCAUUGGUAAAAGCACCGAAACGGAUCAUUCUAAGGCUAUAAUUCAAGAGUUGGUGCAUGAAAAGCAAUGGGAUAGGCAAGAAAUGGAUGACUUGACGAAGCAAGUUUUAGACAAAAGCCGACUCAAAACUGCUGUUUAGUUGGUCAGGGAGUG
Molecule: long non-coding RNA, 975 nt
Organism: Rosa chinensis
Lineage: Eukaryota; Viridiplantae; Streptophyta; Magnoliopsida; Rosales; Rosaceae
Exons: 4
Source: RefSeq, a predicted model, not a curated record